Hermetia illucens (black soldier fly) is the source of this 317-nucleotide long non-coding RNA. RefSeq lists it as uncharacterized. The record is from RefSeq and is a predicted model, not a curated record. The transcript has 2 exons. Lineage: Eukaryota; Metazoa; Arthropoda; Insecta; Diptera; Stratiomyidae.
AAGAAAGCGAAAAAAGAAGAAUGGCGGCAACAAUGACGAUGAAGAUGAGGAAAUCAUCGAAGAGGAGGAGAUCGAUGAGAUGGAAAGUGAAAACGAAGAAUAUGACCUGCCGUUCGAUGGUGAGGAGGAGGAUAUAGAUGGAGAAGAUGAAGAGGGCGAAGACGAAGAAAACGAAGGCGAAGAAGAGGGCAAUCAGGUGUUAUAAUAAUAUAAUUAGUCAGACACAAAGCAAAAUAAGAGUUUUUCUUAUUUUUUUUAUUUUAAAGAAACAAGAUUUUUGUUCUUUUAAAAUUAAGAUUUAAUAUAUUAAAAAAAAA